Long non-coding RNA from Bacillus rossius redtenbacheri, 422 nucleotides. RefSeq lists it as uncharacterized. The record is from RefSeq and is a predicted model, not a curated record. NCBI's taxonomy places the organism in Eukaryota, Metazoa, Arthropoda, Insecta, Phasmatodea, Bacillidae. The transcript has 2 exons.
UUAACUUGCUAGAGAGUACUGUAUAUAAGUCGAGGCGAAUAUCUCCGUGUUACCGCAGUCCUUGCAGAGUACUUCCAGAGCAGCUUAUCUACUUCUCCCCGACAACAUGAAGGCUAUCGUCGCCGCAGUGCUGCUGCUCGCCGCCGCCGCCGCCGCCGCCCCCAGCCUGCUGCUGGGAGGCGCCGUGCCCGCCGCCGCCAUCGUGCAGACCGCCGGCGUGCCCGGCCUCAGCACCUCCACCAUCAACCUGGCGCCGGUGCUGCCCCUGGCGGCGCCCUCGCUGCUGGCCGGCCACGGCCUCGUGCUGGGCUAGGCCCUGUCCGUCCUCUGUCCGUCCUGCCCGGUUACCACUCUGUCCCUCUUAAUCUUCUUUCUUCCCCUUCUGCGUGUCGGAGGGAACUCAAUAAACUCGUGGGUGCCUA